GCACUCUAGCUCAGUCGGUAGAGCGCAAGACUCUUAACCUUGUGGUCGUGGGUUCAAGCCCUACGAUGGGCA
Molecule: non-coding RNA, 72 nt
Organism: Zea mays
Lineage: Eukaryota; Viridiplantae; Streptophyta; Magnoliopsida; Poales; Poaceae
Source: Rfam